UUUUCUCUCUCGUCUCACAAAGUUGAGUUCCCUAGAACCCGAUUGCUCAGAGAUGAACCCCAACUUUCCUCAAAUCUAUUUAUUUCCUCGAAUCUUUCCACAAAUCAAUACUAGAUUAAAGCAGAGACUUUAAGUAACUUAAAUCAGAUCUAUUUUGCGUAAAAAACCCCUAAAUCGAGCACAAAUUAAACGUAAUCUUAUUACAAGAAAAAUCAACACCCAUUUCACAGAUUUUGAGUAACCUAAUCUCAGAAGAAGAUUCAGUAGAAGAUUCAAGUACACCGUGAGAACUAGAAGAACCAGAUCUCUAAUUCAUUAAUUUCUCUCUUUUGGUUUCACAAGAACUUGAUUUCAAGGCUUAAUUGUUGUUUUUUAGGGAAAUCAUCAGGAGCUGAUAUAGUUCACAGUAUUAGUCCACCAUUAUAGUCCACCAAGGAGAGGCUGUGGUGGAGGUGGAAGGAAAGAGUCGAACAUGAAUUGCAGGCCUGAAGACCUUCAUAUUCCAUUUGAAAGAUCUGGACAAGUGAGGGAUGUAUAUUUGCCUAAAGAUUUUUACUCAGGGUGAGCUUUUCUUGGGUGAGUUUUCAGGUGUCAAAUAGUAUUUGAUCGCGCUCUGAUUGCGCCGGUGUUUGCUUUUGAUCAACUUGUUAAUUGUCAAGGUAUGCGAUAUUGAUAUAGAUGGUUAUGUAUCCUUGUGCGAGAUUGAUUUGUAUAUGUGCCUGACACUGAUGUUCUAGUGUCUUCUCUCAGUGGGUAGACUUUGUCUAGGAAAAUUUGUCCCUCGACCAUAUUAAGAUUUAAUCAUUGUCGGUUAUUAGGUUCUCUACAUGUAUCUGUUCUUGCUAGUUAUGUCGUUGAACUUGCGGUAUAUCAUUUAGCUAUGUCAAUAGAGUUGAAAUAAAUAGUCGAAGACAUUCUGCUUUUGCUGUACAAGGUCAACUGAAUUUGGGAAUUCUGGAGUUUACGGUUAAUAAUUACGGUAAUGUGCAUGAAGAUUAAUAUAGAAAUGUGUAAAGGAUAAUUAUUAACUGACGCACUACUCACAGAAUAAACAACAAGUACAAAGAAAUAUAUAUACUAAGUAAAGACAACAUUAACAACUUUGGUUUCUUAAAUUUCAGUUGCAGUGUUCCCUUAAGUUUGGAUAACCAGUUGAAUGCAUUGUAUUAAUUGUCUGAGCUGAAUCUAAAAUAUAAUUGUUUUUGUUGUGAAGGAAGUGUAGUGGUAUUCUUUGUUAUUGGCUUUGAUUUUUAACUUUGGUCUGUGUUCUCUGUUUAUUGUGUUAUGCAAAUGACUGGAGAUGGUGGAGGUGGUAAUUUGAAGUAGUAAGGAACAAGUAUUGGAGAUGGUGGUGAUGGUGACUUGUAGUUAAGUGAAGUGGGGGUACUGGAGAUGGUAAUGGUGGUGUUUUGUAAUAAUAUGGAUCAGGUUGUGGUGAUGAAUUGUAGCUGAGUAGUAUGGGGUGAUUAAUGGAGAUGGUGGUGGCAGUGAAUUUUAGUACCAUGGUGCUGGUGCUUUUUUUUUUUUUUUCCAUUUUGUUAACAGUCUCCUGACUUUGUUCCCUGAUACACAAACAUUGUUUUCAGUUCUCGCAAUUUUUCGUAGUUGUUAGUAACCUUCACGGUUUGAGUAUCCAAUGCUGGUUCUUAGAAUUUUAAAGUUAAAACGAUGUCACAUGUUAUUGUAUAGGAUGGGUAUUGGAGAUGGUGGUGGUGGUGGUGGCUUGAGGGUUACAAGAUGAAGGGUAGUGCAAGAUCCCAUGUAUGCUUCUUCUGUGGUUCAACUUCCCGAUCGAGAGAUGUUUCAAGUUAACCCCAAGGAGUUUCAUCUGCAGACACACAUCUACCAAGGAAGAAAUCGUUGUUGUUGGAGGUUAAGAGGUAUAUAGCCCUGUAGUUUGGAUAUGAAAAUCCCAAUGACUUCUCCAGCUGGUGAUUCAAAGUUGCACGCAGAGGGAUCAGUUAGAUCACAUCCUAGUAAUGAAGCGCUUGUAGAUGGAAAGUUCUUAGUGAAAUUACAAGAGCAAGAUAUCAAAGAGACCAUAAAGGCAGCAAAGAUUCAUGAUUUCUGCUAUGGAAUUCCUUUCGUUGUAGGUGCCUAGUAAUGAAGAGUUUGAAUGUGGAAAGUUAUGAAUUGAUAUGGAGUUACAAGGUAUGGAAGCUCAUUGCUUGUACUAUUUGUGAGAUAACAAGGAGAUCAAUCUAUGAUCAUUCUGGAUUUCCCAUUCUGCCAAUGUUCCAAACUAGACGAUUAUCAAGUCUUUGUCAUUUAAGUUUUCUGUUACUGAUUAUGUUCAACAUAUUUUAUUCCUGAUGAGUUUCAACAUCUUUUAUUCCUGAUGAGUCACUUGAGUCAUUUCUCUAGUAUUUUAGCCUUUUUUUUUAAUUUUUUCCUUGAAGACAUUAAAUGUAAGACUUCAUUUUUGUUGUUAGUGCUAAUAUUUGAUUGAGAAUGGAAA
This is a long non-coding RNA of Papaver somniferum (opium poppy), 2458 nucleotides long. RefSeq lists it as uncharacterized. The record is from RefSeq and is a predicted model, not a curated record. The transcript has 9 exons. NCBI's taxonomy places the organism in Eukaryota, Viridiplantae, Streptophyta, Magnoliopsida, Ranunculales, Papaveraceae.